UGGGGAAUAUUGGACAAUGGGCGCAAGCCUGAUCCAGCCAUGCCGCGUGAGUGAUGAAGGCCCUAGGGUUGUAAAGCUCUUUCGCCUGUGAAGAUAAUGACGGUAGCAGGUAAAGAAACCCCGGCUAACUCCGUGCCAGCAGCCGCGGUAAUACGGAGGGGGUUAGCGUUGUUCGGAAUUACUGGGCGUAAAGCGCACGUAGGCGGACCAGAAAGUUGGGGGUGAAAUCCCGGGGGCUCAACCCCGGAACUGCCUCCAAAACUAUUGGUCUAGAGUUCGAGAGAGGUGAGUGGAAUUCCAAGUGUAGAGGUGAAAUUCGUAGAUAUUUGGAGGAACACCAGUGGCGAAGGCGGCUCACUGGCUCGAUACUGACGCUGAGGUGCGAAAGUGUGGGGAGCAAACAGGAUUAGAUACCCUGGUAGUCCACACCGUAAAACGAUGAAUGCCAGUCGUCGGGUAGCAUGCUAUUCGGUGACACACCUAACGGAUUAAGCAUUCCGGCCUGGGGAGUACGGUCGCAAGAUUAAAACUCAAAUGAAUUGA
This 543-nucleotide ribosomal RNA is filed under the name uncultured bacterium. Its description in RNAcentral is "bacterial SSU rRNA". It matches the Rfam family "Bacterial small subunit ribosomal RNA", at positions 355 to 913 of the family's 1533-position model. The record is from RNAcentral.